Molecule: long non-coding RNA, 456 nt
Filed under: Oryza brachyantha (malo sina)
Lineage: Eukaryota; Viridiplantae; Streptophyta; Magnoliopsida; Poales; Poaceae
Description: long non-coding RNA (OBRA_LNC000073)
Source: RNAcentral
UCUGCCCAUUUGCAAGCUGCUAGGAUCUAAUCUAAUCCUUCUAAUAACAGCCAAGAUUGCAAGAUCAGCACUGUGUCCGUCAGAUGUCUUCUUGAGCAGCUGGGCUGAUUAAUAAGAUUGGUGUUCUGAUCAAGCUCUUCGUCCAUAGCUUUAUAUUGUUGUUUCAGCUGACUUUAUACAUGUAUGUAUUCUACUCACCAUAACUAACCAUUGCUGUUUCUUGCAAAGCAUACCUGUUUGUCAGUUGCCACAUUUCCUUUUUAUUAAGGCUGUUUUAUUGGUACAGGUAUUUGGGUUAUGUUCUUGGUUCUUGGCUCUUCUUGCUCAUGAAUCUAGCCCUCUAUCAUGCCCCAUCCUUUUUCAUUUUUUUUCCUGAUAUUCAACAUGUCAGUAAUGGGAGCAUCAUGGAAAGAUACAAAUAUCUAUAUCUCGAUCAUCAUUUCUUUAAGAUAAUGG